GUGAGACCAGGAUUGAACAGACCCAGUGUGAUAACUCCUGUGAGUCAUGGAGUUAGCCCCACCAGUCCUGUGAGAGAGCAGCACUACCCCUGUUCUCCACGCUUUCCUUCUGAUAAAAACAAUAUUAUUAACGUAACAUAAUGAGCACAUCAGCCCCAACAGGAUGAGAAGAGAAACAGAUGGAGGCAGAGUUACAAAAUGACAAAGUUUAUUCCUGAGCAACUUGGAGUACAUUUUCACAUCAGAUCCAUUGCAACAGCUGGAUAUCUACUGAAGAAAUGCAUGUGCAGUGCCUCCCCAAAGACGGGGUGCAUUCUCAAGGUUUCUUCAUCCUCGGAUUCAAAGGGCAGUCGAUUCCCUUUCUCUGCAUUAUUAAUCAGCGAAAGCCAGACCGUCGAACGCCCGCGCAUCUCAGCAGAGCUGUUCAGGCAGCAGUCCUUCAGUGAAAAACAAGCAAGGCGCUCCCGUUAUCAGCCAAUGAGGAUGCGAAGAGAGACGGAGCGGAGCGGUAGGGGGCCGGGUUCUACCUGUGAUGUGUCCACAUUCCCUCUGACUUACGCGGGGCAGGUAAAAGAGGCGUACUGUGUUUGUCAGUGAGAGACAGAUGUACAUGAC
Molecule: long non-coding RNA, 615 nt
Organism: Conger conger (European conger)
Lineage: Eukaryota; Metazoa; Chordata; Actinopteri; Anguilliformes; Congridae
Exons: 5
Source: RefSeq, a predicted model, not a curated record